UGAUCUAUGGGUACAUGAGACUCCCUUGAUCUCAAAAAGGUUUGGCUAAGGACAAUACUUGCAAGUUAUAGUCGGUAUGACGAUACCAUCAUGUAUAGCCUCGGUUAAUAACAAUGGUUUAAUUUGUUGUAAGUGAUUUUAAUUGGGCAAUAAUGGCGGGGUGUGAUAGCUAAGUGUGAAGGUGGGAGUUCAAUGAACGAACACUGGAAACUCAUGUUAGCUGACAGAGGGGUAGUUCAUGGAAACCUUAUAUGAUAC
Molecule: long non-coding RNA, 258 nt
Filed under: Capsicum annuum
Lineage: Eukaryota; Viridiplantae; Streptophyta; Magnoliopsida; Solanales; Solanaceae
Description: long non-coding RNA (CANN_LNC006801)
Source: RNAcentral